RNAcentral lists this ribosomal RNA (250 nucleotides) under uncultured prokaryote. RNAcentral's name for it is "partial 16S ribosomal RNA". It matches the Rfam family "Bacterial small subunit ribosomal RNA", at positions 524 to 773 of the family's 1533-position model. The record is from RNAcentral.
UACGUAGGGGGCAAGCGUUAUCCGGAUUUACUGGGUGUAAAGGGAGCGUAGACGGCCGUGCAAGUCUGAUGUGAAAGGCUGGGGCUCAACCCCGGGACUGCAUUGGAAACUGUGCGGCUGGAGUGCCGGAGGGGCAGGCGGAAUUCCUAGUGUAGCGGUGAAAUGCGUAGAUAUUAGGAGGAACACCAGUGGCGAAGGCGGCCUGCUGGACGGUAACUGACGUUGAGGCUCGAAAGCGUGGGGAGCAAAC